CCCUUAGAUGUUCUGGGCCGCACGCGCGCUACACUGACGAAUGCAACGAGCUUAUAACCUUGGCCGAAAGGUCUGGGUAAUCUCCAAAUUUCGUCGUGAUGGGGAUAGAUUAUUGCAAUUAUUAAUCUUCAACGAGGAAUGCCUAGUAAGCGCAAGUCAUCAGCUUGCGUUGAUUACGUCCCUGCCCUUUGUACACACCGCCCGUCGCUCCUACCGAUGAAUCGUCCGGUGAAGUUCAUGGAGUCGCGGCUGCUCCAGCUGUUUUCGAAGUGAAAUGGACCUCNUNAUUUAGNGGAAGGAGAANUCGUANCA
This 312-nucleotide ribosomal RNA is filed under the name uncultured eukaryote. RNAcentral describes it as "partial 18S ribosomal RNA". It matches the Rfam family "Eukaryotic small subunit ribosomal RNA", at positions 1470 to 1796 of the family's 1831-position model. The record is from RNAcentral.